This 113-nucleotide ribosomal RNA is filed under the name Caerostris darwini. Lineage: Eukaryota; Metazoa; Arthropoda; Arachnida; Araneae; Araneidae. The record is from RNAcentral.
AACGGCCAUACCAUGCUGAAUAUACCGGUUCUCGUUAGAUCACCGAAGUCAAGCAUCAUUGGGCGCGGUCAGAACUUGGGUGGGUGACCACCUGGGAACACAGCGUGCCGUUU